GACGAACGCUGGCGGCGUGCCUAAUACAUGCAAGUAGAACGCUGAAGGAGGAGCUUGCUUCUCCGGAUGAGUUGCGAACGGGUGAGUAACGCGUAGGUAACCUGCCUGGUAGCGGGGGAUAACUAUUGGAAACGAUAGCUAAUACCGCAUAACAGUAGAUAUUGCAUGAUAUCUGCUUGAAAGGUGCAAUUGCAUCACUACCAGAUGGACCUGCGUUGUAUUAGCUAGUUGGUGAGGUAACGGCUCACCAAGGCGACGAUACAUAGCCGACCUGAGAGGGUGAUCGGCCAAACUGGGACUGAGACAAGGCCCAGAAUCCUAAGGGAGGCAGCAGUAGGGAAUCUUCGGCAAUGGACGGAAGUCUGACCGAGCAACGCCGCGUGAGUGAAGAAGGUUUUCGGAUCGUAAAGCUCGGUUGUAAGAGAAGAACGAGUGUGAGAGUGGAAAGUUCACACUGUGACGGUAUCUUACCAGAAAGGGACGGCUAACUACGUG
This 495-nucleotide ribosomal RNA is filed under the name uncultured bacterium. RNAcentral describes it as "partial 16S ribosomal RNA". It matches the Rfam family "Bacterial small subunit ribosomal RNA", at positions 28 to 507 of the family's 1533-position model. The record is from RNAcentral.